Molecule: ribosomal RNA, 598 nt
Filed under: Escherichia coli
Lineage: Bacteria; Pseudomonadati; Pseudomonadota; Gammaproteobacteria; Enterobacterales; Enterobacteriaceae
Also listed under: 1 other name
Description: bacterial SSU rRNA
Rfam family: Bacterial small subunit ribosomal RNA
Source: RNAcentral
AGCGGUGGAGCAUGUGGUUUAAUUCGAUGCAACGCGAAGAACCUUACCUGGUCUUGACAUCCACGGAAGUUUUCAGAGAUGAGAAUGUGCCUUCGGGAACCGUGAGACAGGUGCUGCAUGGCUGUCGUCAGCUCGUGUUGUGAAAUGUUGGGUUAAGUCCCGCAACGAGCGCAACCCUUAUCCUUUGUUGCCAGCGGUCCGGCCGGGAACUCAAAGGAGACUGCCAGUGAUAAACUGGAGGAAGGUGGGGAUGACGUCAAGUCAUCAUGGCCCUUACGACCAGGGCUACACACGUGCUACAAUGGCGCAUACAAAGAGAAGCGACCUCGCGAGAGCAAGCGGACCUCAUAAAGUGCGUCGUAGUCCGGAUUGGAGUCUGCAACUCGACUCCAUGAAGUCGGAAUCGCUAGUAAUCGUGGAUCAGAAUGCCACGGUGAAUACGUUCCCGGGCCUUGUACACACCGCCCGUCACACCAUGGGAGUGGGUUGCAAAAGAAGUAGGUAGCUUAACCUUCGGGAGGGCGCUUACCACUUUGUGAUUCAUGACUGGGGUGAAGUCGUAACAAGGUAACCGUAGGGGAACCUGCGGUUGGAUCAC